Sorex araneus (European shrew) is the source of this 425-nucleotide long non-coding RNA. RefSeq lists it as uncharacterized. NCBI's taxonomy places the organism in Eukaryota, Metazoa, Chordata, Mammalia, Eulipotyphla, Soricidae. The transcript has 3 exons. The record is from RefSeq and is a predicted model, not a curated record.
CUCGGGACCAGGAGCUGUCGGUCCCAGGGGUAGCUCUGUGGCAUUUUCUCCCACCUGAACUGAAGACUGAAGAGGAGCGGAGGGGCGUGUGCUGAAAGACCCCGUCUCUGAGGCACCGGUGAUGUGUUUACUGAACAAACACCGGAGACAUCAAGAUGGAUGUGUCCUUCCCGGCGCUCCGGCCCGUCCCUCCCAGGGACGGGGCCAAGCCAGCCGUGAUUUAAGCGCGUGCAGGGCUGCAACGGGAGACGCGCUUUUCCAACAGCAAUCGAGGCGAGAGAAUAAUGAGCACUGUGAGCCCCCGAAGAAGACUGGAACAGGUAAAAAUAUAAUCAUAACCGGACCAGAGUUGCUGUUGACUGAGGCAGAGCCGGAAGGGGUCCCAGCUUUUCCCAAGAGAAAUCGCCCACCGGAUGGAACGGGGU